CCUACGGGAGGCAGCAGUGGGGAAUUUUGGACAAUGGGGGCAACCCUGAUCCAGCCAUGCCGCGUGAGUGAAGAAGGCCUUCGGGUUGUAAAGCUCUUUCGGUGGGGAAGAAAUUGCACCUUCUAAUACAGGGUGUAGAUGACGGUACCCGCAUAAGAAGCACCGGCUAACUACGUGCCAGCAGCCGCGGUAAUACGUAGGGUGCGAGCGUUAAUCGGAAUUACUGGGCGUAAAGCGUGCGCAGGUGGUUGUGUAAGUCAGAGGUGAAAUCCCCGGGCUCAACCUGGGAACUGCCUUUGAGACUGCACGGCUAGAGGAUAGCAGAGGGGGGUGGAAUUCCACGUGUAGCAGUGAAAUGCGUAGAGAUGUGGAGGAACACCGAUGGCGAAGGCAGCCCCCUGGGCUAUUACUGACACUCAUGCACGAAAGCGUGGGGAGCAAACAGGAUUAGAUACCCUGGUAGUCCACGCCCUAAACGAUGUCAACUGGAUGUUGGGAGGGUUAAACCUCUUAGUGUCGUAGCUAACGCGUGAAGUUGACCGCCUGGGGAGUACGGCCGCAAGGCUAAAACUCAAAGGAAUUGACGG
Molecule: ribosomal RNA, 587 nt
Filed under: uncultured bacterium
Lineage: Bacteria
Description: bacterial SSU rRNA
Rfam family: Bacterial small subunit ribosomal RNA
Source: RNAcentral